CGUCGCGGGGCGGCAUUCCCAUUGCCAAGUCGAACGAUGAACAUUCUUCGGAAUGUGGAAGAGUGGCGAACGUUUUGAGGAACACGUAAGAAUCUGCCCCUCGGUCGGGGACAACUCUUGGAAACGAGAGCUAAUACCCGAUACGCUGUGGAGUGAAAGAAUUUCGCCGAGGGAUGAUCUUGCGUCUGAUUAGCUAGUUGGUGUGGUAAUGGCAUACCAAGGCGACGAUCAGUAGCUGGUCUGAGAGGAUGAACAGCCACAUUGGAACUGAGACACGGUCCAAACUCCUACGGGAGGCAGCAGUGGGGAAUUUUCCGCAAUGGACGAAAGUCUGACGGAGCGACGCUGCGUGAAGGAUGACGGCCUGCGGGUUGUAAACUUCUUUUCUCGAAGAAGAAGCUCUGACGGUAUUCGAGGAAUAAGCAUCGGCUAACUCCGUGCCAGCAGCCGCGGUAAUACGGAGGAUGCAAGUGUUAUUCGGAAUGAUUGGGCGUAAAGCGUCUGUAGUCUGUAUAGAAAGUCUUUUGUUAAAUGCCUCGGCUCAACCGAGAUCCAGUAAAGGAAACUUCUAUACCUGACGGAAGUUGAGGUUCCGGCAAUUCCCGGUGGAGCGGUGAAUUGCGUACAUAUUGGCAUAAAUAC
RNAcentral lists this ribosomal RNA (642 nucleotides) under uncultured bacterium. RNAcentral's name for it is "bacterial SSU rRNA". It matches the Rfam family "Bacterial small subunit ribosomal RNA", at positions 34 to 709 of the family's 1533-position model. The record is from RNAcentral.